RNAcentral lists this ribosomal RNA (406 nucleotides) under uncultured bacterium. RNAcentral's name for it is "partial 16S ribosomal RNA". It matches the Rfam family "Bacterial small subunit ribosomal RNA", at positions 30 to 526 of the family's 1533-position model. The record is from RNAcentral.
AUUGAACGCUGGCGGCAGGCUUAACACAUGCAAGUCGAGCGAGCGGCGGACGGGUGAGUAAUGUCUGGGAAACUGCCUGAUGGAGGGGGAUAACUACUGGAAACGGUAGCUAAUACCGCAUACCCUCAGAUGUGCCCAGAUGGGCUUAGCUAGUUGGUGGGGUAAUGGCUCACCAAGGCGACGAUCCCUAGCUGGUCUGAGAGGAUGACCAGCAACACUGGAACUGAGACACGGUCCAGACUCCUACGGGAGGCAGCAGUGGGGAAUAUUGCACAAUGGGCGCAAGCCUGAUGCAGCAAUGCCGCGUGUAUGAAGAAGGCCUUCGGGUUGUAAAGCACUUUCAGCGGGGAGGCGUUACUCGCAGAAGAAGCACCGGCUAACUCCGUGCCAGCAGCCGCGGUAAUUC